Molecule: ribosomal RNA, 301 nt
Filed under: uncultured bacterium
Lineage: Bacteria
Description: partial 16S ribosomal RNA
Rfam family: Bacterial small subunit ribosomal RNA
Source: RNAcentral
CAGCAGCCACGGUAAAACGGAGGGUGCAAGCGUUAUCCGGAUUCACUGGGUUUAAAGGGUGCGUAGGCGGAUCUGUAAGUCAGUGGUGAAAUCUCCAGGCUUAACCUGGAAACUGCCGUUGAUACUAUAGGUCUUGAAUUUUGUGGAGGUUAGCGGAAUAUGUCAUGUAGCGGUGAAAUGCAUAGAUAUGACAUAGAACACCAAUUGCGAAGGCAGCUGGCUACACAACUAUUGACGCUGAGGCACGAAAGCGUGGGGAUCAAACAGGAUUAGAUACCCCCGUAGUCCCUGUCUCUUAUAC